RNAcentral lists this ribosomal RNA (778 nucleotides) under uncultured Neocallimastigales. RNAcentral's name for it is "partial large subunit ribosomal RNA". It matches the Rfam family "Eukaryotic large subunit ribosomal RNA", at positions 22 to 616 of the family's 3401-position model. Lineage: Eukaryota; Fungi; Neocallimastigomycota; Neocallimastigomycetes; Neocallimastigales. The record is from RNAcentral.
UAGAUGCGAGAGUAGAGCAUAUCAAUAAGCGGAGGAAAAGAAGCUAACAAGGAUUCCCUUAGUAACGGCGAGUGAAGCGGGAAGAGCUCAAAUUUGAAAUCUUCAAGGUUUUACCUUGACGAAUUGUAGUUUAAAGAAGUGUUUUCUGUUGAAGUUUUGGUAAAAGUUCUUUGGAAUAGGACAUCAUAGAGGGUGAGAAUCCCGUAUUUGACCAUUAUUUUCAGCUGUGUGAUACACUUUCAAAGAGUCGGAUUGUUUGGGAAUGCAGUCCAAAAUGGGUGGUAAAUUUCAUCUAAAGCUAAAUAUUGGCGAGAGACCGAUAGCGAACAAGGUACCGUGAGGGAAAGAUGAAAAGAACUUUGAAAAGAGAGUUAAACAGUACGUGAAAUUGUCAAAAGGGAAGCGUUUGACACCAGUGUUGUUUUCUCGAAAAUCAAUUACAAAAUGCUUGGAUUUUGUGUUGUAUUGACCUUAAUCAGCUUGCUUCACUUUUUUCGAGUCUUUCUUAAUGCACUUUUCGGUUAACAAGUCAACAUCAAUUUCUUUUGUUGUAAAAGAGUAUUCGGAAGGUGGCUUUCUUUUCGGAGAAAGUGUUUAUAGCCCUAUACUUCUACAAUCGGAGAGAUUGAGGUCUGCAGCGUAGAUCCUUCGGGGUUAGAUACACUUGUGCUAAGUUGUAGCUUUUCAUAGACAACUUGUUGACUAUGUUUAGUCAUGCGGCUUACUCGCUUAGUGCUAUUUUACCUACGCUUAGGAUGUUGAGCGCAUGUCUCUCUCU